Long non-coding RNA from Nannospalax galili (Upper Galilee mountains blind mole rat), 875 nucleotides. RefSeq lists it as uncharacterized. The transcript has 3 exons. The record is from RefSeq and is a predicted model, not a curated record. Lineage: Eukaryota; Metazoa; Chordata; Mammalia; Rodentia; Spalacidae.
CCGACAAGUGUGUGAUGGAAUGCUGUCCACCAACAGGAAGGAGUGAGGCUGAAACCGGCAUGAGCUUUGAGAGUGUCACACUAAGAGAAAGAAGCCAGAAGAAGAAUUGCUUCACAGGUCACUAACUGCCCCAGCAGGCCAUCAAGACCCAAGUGAAAACGGUGCCUUCAAAAUGAUACGCAGGCCCAUUUGCCCCAAAGAGAUAGUCAUCAAAUGUGAACUGUGUCCUCCUCAGCCCACAGUGGAGGAAACUGAAGUGAGAGAAGCGGUUGCUUGAGUGGCUGGCCAGGACCCAAGCAUGCACACUGGUCCAUCACCUACAUUCCUGGGCUUCUUUCUGCUGCCUCCCUGCAGCCCUGGGCCUUUCAUAUGAAGUGUCUCCGCCUCCUGAUCUCACAUGUAAGGCAGAAAUAGUCACCUCAGUGUCACCUAUUUCAAAAACAGCUCCCUGCCUAUUGAGCAGUCCCUACCCAAUCAAUAGAGAUAAAACCUUCAAAUCAGCAUUUGCUGGCUGGGUUCUGACCCUCAUUCAGGAACAUGCCAAAAGAAAUUUGAAGUAGAAAAGGGCUCUGAGGUCAGGAGAAUUUGGGAAAGAGAUGAAUGAUCUGAAGUUCUAAUGUAUGAUCCUAAAAUUAUGUCUGUGCUGUAUAUGCAUGGAGCUCUUCAUGCUGUUAUUCUGCAUAGUUUUAAACAUUCUUAAGUGGUUUCCUACUUGAUUUACCACUUUAUAACGUUUCCCCAUCCAAAAUUAUGUUUGUUUGCAAUUUAUCUUUGUUAAUACACUCUUUCCUAAUAUUCAGGCCAACAAGACAGCCCAGUGGGUAAAGGCACUUUCUGCCAAGCCUGAUGACCUGAGUUUGAUCCUAGGACCCACA